GACGUGAACCAAUUAAGUUGAAUGCAGUUUUACGUCUGACGUCAUUACGCAAGCUUUGCCCGAGACAGAUCCACUUCUUGUACCGACCGCUUGUGCAGCCGCCAUUUCUUCUGACCAUCGACUGUCCACCGGAUUGUAAAACAGCCUGGAGCCAAGCAUCAUCAGACCAUAGAAGAUUGCCAUGGCAAGUUCAAAACCUGCAAGACUGAAGGUGAUUCUAGGAGAGAGCAACACUGAAAAACUGACUCUUCCAAAUGGCAUACCAGAUUCUCUGGAUGAUCUUCUCAGCAAGGUGAAGGAUACCUUUGGUUUAAAGACCAACAUCAGACUGCAAUAUAUGGACAAAGACUUUGGUAAUGACUUCUUCAACCUCAGCUCAACUUCUGACCUUGUGGACUUGGGAACAGUCAAGGUGAUUCAAGAAGAAGCAGUUCAACCUUUUGUUGAUGUCAUUGAAACAGCUCCAUCUUCUUCUGCAGUUCACUCAGAUGACAGCAGUUCUUUAGCUUCAAAUGACACUAUACUCCUCUCCUCCCCUGAAUCCUUCUCAUCGCGAACAAAACAAUGGCCAGCCAACUUUCCCAUUCCCAUGUUUUCGUAUGACACUGAACGUCAGCUACAGAAGGGGAAUUCUGAGUAUCAGGCAAAAAACAAAAUAUUGACAGUCACCCCACGAAUGAAGACUGACAUCCUAAAUAGAUUAGUAGAAGAGAUCUACAGAUACAGAGCCUAUCCAGAGGACGCACAGUUCUGUGUAGUUGCAGAGGCCUUGA
Molecule: long non-coding RNA, 773 nt
Organism: Poeciliopsis prolifica (blackstripe livebearer)
Lineage: Eukaryota; Metazoa; Chordata; Actinopteri; Cyprinodontiformes; Poeciliidae
Exons: 3
Source: RefSeq, a predicted model, not a curated record